GCGUUAUCCGGAAUCAUUGGGUUAAAGGGUCCGCAGGCGGUCAAUUAAGUCAGAGGUGAAAUCCCAUAGCUUAACUAUGGAACUGCCUUUGAUACUGGUUGACUUGAGUCAUAUGGAAGUAGAUAGAAUGUGUAGUGUAGCGGUGAAAUGCAUAGAUAUUACACAGAAUACCGAUUGCGAAGGCAGUCUACUACGUAUGUACUGACACUGAGGAACGAAAGCAUGGGUAGCGAAGAGGAUUAGAUACCCUCGUAGUCCAUGCCGUAAACGAUGUGUGUUAGACGUUGGAAAUUUAUUUUCAGUGUCGCAGGGAAACCGAUAAACACACCGCCUGGGGAGUACGACCGCAAGGUUAAAACUCAAAUGAAUUGACGGGGACCCGCACAAGUAGUGGAGCAUGUGGUUUAAUUCGAAGAUACGCGCAGAACCUUACCAACACUUGACAUGUUCGUCGCGACUUUAAGAGAUUAAAGUUUUCGGUUCGGCCGGACGAAACACAGGUGCUGCAUGGCU
Molecule: ribosomal RNA, 513 nt
Filed under: uncultured bacterium
Lineage: Bacteria
Description: bacterial SSU rRNA
Rfam family: Bacterial small subunit ribosomal RNA
Source: RNAcentral